CUUUUUACUGGUAAAAAGCUUCCUUUUCUUUUAUUUAUUUAUUAAAUGUGAUUUCGGGGGUAGCAGUGUCAUUAGGAUACAAUAUGAUGCAUUUGCAUCUUCCAUAAGUCUCUCAAUUAUUUGUGAAGUACAUUGAAUUUACCAUAGAAUAUCAGAACAAUAUUCUUCCUUCAGUUAUGUAACUUGGUCAAAUAUUGCCCACAGCAACCCUUUUCUCUAAGUUGCAGAUGUCACCAUUCACAGGUCAACUUAUUCAAUAAACACCGUUAACCCCGAGUUACAUUGAAAUCGUCUUCCAGGGAGAAACAAUAUGAGUAAGGAUUCAUAGUUCAGGUGCAUUCCCUCAUCAGUAAGAACUGAGCGAGUGCGGAAGAACUUUAUAUGGGUUAAGUAUUCCGUUGGGGUCCAGCAACUUCUUGAUCGAAGCCAUCACUUGCACGGUUUCAUGCGACUUGCUGUAAAAAAUCUCAUUGGCUUUCAUAAGUCCUAGGCCAUGCUCUGCACUUAUACUGCCACGGUGUUUAGAUGUCCACUCGUAGACAUAGGGUUCAACCUGUGCCAGAAUCAUAUCGUCAUAUUGUGGGGCUGAAAUAUUAAGAUGCAAAUUGCCGUCUCCCAGAUGGCCAUAUCCAACCACUUUGGCCUUUUGAGCUAACCUCACUCGCAUUUCCUCUACAAGAUUGUACAUAUUUUCAACAGGCAAUGACAGAUCAUAUUUGUAUAUAGGCCCAGCUCUCAUCAAUGCUUCUGGUAUACCCUCACGUAUACGCCAAAAAGAUGAAGCUUGGUUUAUGUCUUGUGCAAGAACUCCAUCAGAAAUUAAACCAGAUUCCAUUGAGCGAAGUAGAAAUGCCUCAAGCUUCUCUUUGUCAUAAGAUUCGUCACUGCUUGUUGUCUCAAUCAGAACAUAAAAGUUGUGCACUGAGGGAGGCAAUGGAUUCCGAACACCUUCUAAAUGGUUUAGAACCAAAUCCAUUGCCUCACUAUCCCAAAAUUCAAAAGCAGACAGAAUCUCUCCAAGUUUCCUCUUUGCUUCCAAUAGCAGUCUCUGGCAGCUGAGAUAAUCUUUGCAUGCAAUAAAAGCUAUAUUCACUGAUGAUAGCUUUGGGGGGGUAAGUAUGGACACCUUAGUUACAAUUCCCAAGGACCCUUCACUUCCUAUAAACAAAUGCUUCAAGUCAUAACCAGUAUUAUCUUUCCGUAAAGUCCCAAGCAUGUCAAGCACAUUACCAUUUGCUAGAACAGCCUCAAGACCAAGUACAUUCCCGUGCAGUGAACCAUGACGAAUGAGGCGCAAACCACCAGCAUUAGUUGAAACAUUUCCACCAAUUUGGCAGCUUCCUUUUGCACCUAAGUCCAGUGGCAUAAUAAAUCCUUGGUUAUCCAGGAAAGAUAUCAGAUUUUCCAAUAUGCAUCCAGCUUCACAAACAAGCAUACCACUAACCUUGUCAAAAUCUACAAUGUUAUUCAUUGAACUCAUACUGAUAAUCACCUCGUCAAAAACUGGCACACUACCACCCACAAGCCCAGUAUUUCCACCUUGGGGAACCACAGCCAGAUGCCUAGAAUUACAAUACUUAAGAAUUUGAGAGACCUGGUCAGUGGUCGUAGGUAGGAGAAGAAGCCUGCUUGAACCUUUGUAUUUAUGCAUCCAAUCUGCAUUUACAAACUCCAACCUAUCUUCAUCCUGAACGACAUUUUUUUCACCCAACACACCCUUAAAAUAAGUUACAUCAUCAGAAUUCAAGGUCGCAAACGACGGAUUUCUCUGAAUUUUAGUCCCAGCCGAGCCAAAACUUCUAAACUGAAGUGCGCACAUCAUCCCUCCAAGGCCUCGUCCCAAAGGAGGCCAGAAAGUCUGUUUAUAAUCCCUAGAGAAGCUCGCACGAGUCAACAAGUCCGACUUCUGUAAUUGGAAAAGUGGUAUGCAGCGUUGGCCAUUAUCACUGAAGUGAUGCGUAAAGACUGAAGCGGAGCGGAGAGUGGAGUGAUCGGAGACUGAUCGAUGAUUAAAAAGUGAUUUGAAGGAGUGGCUGAAGAGGCGACGAGUUGCUCUGCACUUCUCCAUCAUCACGAUGGCUUUUGGAAUCAGAGUUAAGAGUUGUAGCUUGUACUACGCAAUAGCAUUUGGGUAGGUG
RNAcentral lists this unclassified non-coding RNA (2138 nucleotides) under Hevea brasiliensis (rubber tree). Lineage: Eukaryota; Viridiplantae; Streptophyta; Magnoliopsida; Malpighiales; Euphorbiaceae. The record is from RNAcentral.